Molecule: non-coding RNA, 129 nt
Organism: Anas platyrhynchos (mallard)
Lineage: Eukaryota; Metazoa; Chordata; Aves; Anseriformes; Anatidae
Source: RefSeq, a predicted model, not a curated record
CCGGACUGCUCGGGGUUAGGCUGGGCAUCGGUCAGCGCGUGAGUCCCAGUCAAGAAACUGCCUUUAGGAAGUGGAAUUUGUGUCGAUUAGUCAACCACCAACAGCUGCAAACAGGAGUGACCAGCAUGU